AUUUUUUGUUUUCUUCGGAAAACAAGCUCAACGAGAGCCAUCGGGGGUAGAUCUAUCUCAUGACGAGUGGUGGAAUACGGUGACUCAUGAGAGAGACACGGAGGCGAAGGCGUCUACCUAGAGGGUUUCUGUCGAUCAAGGGCGAGAGUAGGAGUAUCCAACAGGAUUAGAGACCCUGGUAGUUCCUACUAUAAACGAUGCCGACAGGAGUUUGUCAUUUAAUAAUGGCAGAAUCUUUGGAGAAAUCAUAGUUCUUGGGCUCUGGGGGAACUACGACCGCAAGGCUGAAACUUGAAGGAAUUGACGGAAGGGCACACCAGGGGUGGAGCCUGUGGCUUAAUUUGAAUCAACACGGGGAAACUUACCAGGACCAGAUGUUUUUUAUGACUGACAGGCUUUGGGUCUUUCAGGAUAUGAUUUUUGGUGGUGCAUGGCCGUUGGUGGUGCGUGGGUUGACCUGUCUAGCGUUGAUUCAGCUAACGAGCGAGAUUAUCGCCAAUUAUAUACUACGCCUAGGUUUCUAGGUUGCAGUUCUAAUUGGGACUCCCUGCGAUUUUAGCAGGCGGAAGAGGGUAGCAAUAACAGGUCCGUGAUGUCCUUUANAUGCUCUGGGCUGCACGCGUGCUACAAUGUUAGGAUCAAUAGGAAAUAUUUUAUAUACUCUGCAAACCUGAAAGGGCGAGCUACUCCUAUAAUCCCUAACGUAGUUGGGAUUGACGUUUGUAAUCNGCGUCAUGAACCAGGAAUCCCUUGUAAAUGUGUGUCAACAUCGCACGUUGAAUACGUCCCUGC
RNAcentral lists this ribosomal RNA (792 nucleotides) under Tetratrichomonas sp. Its description in RNAcentral is "SSU rRNA". It matches the Rfam family "Eukaryotic small subunit ribosomal RNA", at positions 842 to 1656 of the family's 1831-position model. The record is from RNAcentral. Lineage: Eukaryota; Parabasalia; Trichomonadida; Trichomonadidae.